This 105-nucleotide non-coding RNA is filed under the name pig gut metagenome. Its description in RNAcentral is "FMN riboswitch (RFN element)". It matches the Rfam family "FMN riboswitch aptamer (RFN element)". From Rfam's summary of the family: The RFN element is a highly conserved domain that is found frequently in the 5'-untranslated regions of prokaryotic mRNAs that encode for flavin mononucleotide (FMN) biosynthesis and transport proteins. This element is a metabolite-dependent riboswitch that directly binds FMN in the absence of proteins. In Bacillus subtilis, the riboswitch most likely controls gene expression by causing premature transcription termination within the 5' untranslated region of the ribDEAHT operon and precluding access to the ribosome-binding site of ypaA mRNA. The record is from RNAcentral.
GUUUCAGGGCGAGGUGCAAUUCCUCACUGGCGGUAAAGUCCGCGAGCCUUCGGGUUGAACCGGUGAAACUCCGGUACCAACGGUUAUAGUCCGGAUGGAAGAAAC